Long non-coding RNA from Drosophila subobscura, 178 nucleotides. RefSeq lists it as uncharacterized. The transcript is spliced from 3 exons. The record is from RefSeq and is a predicted model, not a curated record. NCBI's taxonomy places the organism in Eukaryota, Metazoa, Arthropoda, Insecta, Diptera, Drosophilidae.
UGAAAAAGUACCAAUUUUAUUGCUGUUUUAAAUGUCUCAUAAAUUGAAAAAUACGAUUAACUGAUCCAAUUUUUUGGAUGCAUUUUAUUCAGUAGGGUUUUUACUACGUGUUCUGUAAUGCGAACGGUAUCUAGUGGUUGGCGAUGUCUUCUACUUUUAGAUGUAGUACUGAGUGCCG